UUGUUUCUUUGUUACAUGAACAAGGAACUUGAGAAGAAAGCACAAAGGCAUGGACACUUAAAGUGCCAUGAUUCUUCACUUACAAAUUGUUGUAUGAAGAAAUGAGAGUUGCCUUGUACAACUCUUGAAAGUUUGUAAUUAUGUUUAGAACAUAAUGGUUGGUUGACAAAAAUAGUCCAUUAACAUGGACUUAUGAUGAUUUUGAAUCAUUGAGUGUUGAAGUGAUUAAAUCACUUAACGAGACGGAAACUAGGCAAGGACUUCACCUUUGUUUCCCUAUCCUAAUGGUUCACUAAGUUUAUUGUAAACUAUGUAGUGAACAAUAAACCACAUGCUCUCCAAAAUGUUUGAUGUGUAUAACACAAUUGAAAAAGGUUUCAAGAGAGAUAGUGGGAGUUUAGGGACCAUGACUAUUGUAGUCAAAGGAGAAGUCAAAUGAAGAAGAUAAAUAACUCCAAGGGAACAAACUUUCUUUAUGAAAGGAUGGACAUUGGAAGGGGUAUUUGCAAGAA
This 512-nucleotide long non-coding RNA is filed under the name Malus domestica (apple). RNAcentral's name for it is "long non-coding RNA (MDOM_LNC012749)". The record is from RNAcentral. Lineage: Eukaryota; Viridiplantae; Streptophyta; Magnoliopsida; Rosales; Rosaceae.